This 19-nucleotide small nuclear RNA is filed under the name Arabidopsis thaliana (thale cress). RNAcentral describes it as "snRNA_13680". Lineage: Eukaryota; Viridiplantae; Streptophyta; Magnoliopsida; Brassicales; Brassicaceae. The record is from RNAcentral.
UUUUUUAAGGGAGGAAGCC